AUUGAACGCUGGCGGCAGGCUUAACACAUGCAAGUCGAGCGAGCGGCGGACGUGUGAGUAAUGUCUGGGAAACUGCCUGAUGGAGGGGGAUAACUACUGGAAACGGUAGCUAAUACCGCCUACCACCCGAUGUGCCCAUAUGGGAUUAGCUAGUCGGUGGGGGAAUGGCUCACCUAGGCGACGAUCCCUGGCUGGUCUGAGAGGAUGACCAGCCACACUGGCACUGAGACACGGUCCAGACUCCUACGGGAGGCAGCAGUGGGGAAUAUUGCACAAUGGGCGCAAGCCUGAUACAGCCAUGCCGCGUGUGUGAAGAAGGCCUUCGGGUUGUACAGCACUUUAAGCGAGGAGGCGUUACUCGCAGAAGAAGCACCGGCUAACUCCGUGCCAGCAGCCGCGGUAAUUC
This 406-nucleotide ribosomal RNA is filed under the name uncultured bacterium. RNAcentral describes it as "partial 16S ribosomal RNA". It matches the Rfam family "Bacterial small subunit ribosomal RNA", at positions 30 to 526 of the family's 1533-position model. The record is from RNAcentral.